RNAcentral lists this ribosomal RNA (724 nucleotides) under Pseudomonas sp. SMCC B0609. RNAcentral's name for it is "bacterial SSU rRNA". It matches the Rfam family "Bacterial small subunit ribosomal RNA", at positions 24 to 743 of the family's 1533-position model. The record is from RNAcentral. Lineage: Bacteria; Pseudomonadati; Pseudomonadota; Gammaproteobacteria; Pseudomonadales; Pseudomonadaceae.
UCAGAUUGAACGCUGGCGGCAGGCCUAACACAUGCAAGUCGAGCGGAUGAAGAGAGCUUGCUCUCUGAUUCAGCGGCGGACGGGUGAGUAAUGCCUAGGAAUCUGCCUGGUAGUGGGGGACAACGUUUCGAAAGGAACGCUAAUACCGCAUACGUCCUACGGGAGAAAGCAGGGGACCUUCGGGCCUUGCGCUAUCAGAUGAGCCUAGGUCGGAUUAGCUAGUUGGUGAGGUAAUGGCUCACCAAGGCGACGAUCCGUAACUGGUCUGAGAGGAUGAUCAGUCACACUGGAACUGAGACACGGUCCAGACUCCUACGGGAGGCAGCAGUGGGGAAUAUUGGACAAUGGGCGAAAGCCUGAUCCAGCCAUGCCGCGUGUGUGAAGAAGGUCUUCGGAUUGUAAAGCACUUUAAGUUGGGAGGAAGGGUUGUAGAUUAAUACUCUGCAAUUUUGACGUUACCGACAGAAUAAGCACCGGCUAACUCUGUGCCAGCAGCCGCGGUAAUACAGAGGGUGCAAGCGUUAAUCGGAAUUACUGGGCGUAAAGCGCGCGUAGGUGGUUUGUUAAGUUGGAUGUGAAAGCCCCGGGCUCAACCUGGGAACUGCAUUCAAAACUGACAAGCUAGAGUAUGGUAGAGGGUGGUGGAAUUUCCUGUGUAGCGGUGAAAUGCGUAGAUAUAGGAAGGAACACCAGUGGCGAAGGCGACCACCUGGACUGAUACUGA